Molecule: long non-coding RNA, 2807 nt
Filed under: Mytilus galloprovincialis (Mediterranean mussel)
Lineage: Eukaryota; Metazoa; Mollusca; Bivalvia; Mytilida; Mytilidae
Source: RNAcentral
CAAACCUUUGUUCAUAAAUAUUGAGGACAUAUUUGAGCUCAAAGUUUAUCAAGUGGACAAGUUGUUGGCCAAUAACAAUGGUUGGACAUGUUAAAUUUGGAAGAGUACAUUUUGUGUACAUGUUGGUUAGUUUAACAGGAAACACGUUUACAAUCACCUUAUGCGUAAUAAUAUUUUAACGAAAAAUCAAUCAGGCUUUACACGGGGGGAUUCAGCGGUUAAUCAAUUAAUUAACAUUUCAAAUGAUUUUGGGAAGGCUUUAGAUAGCGUAGCGGUAAAGAAAUAAGGGUAGUAUUCUGUGAUAUAAGUAAAGCGUUUGAUCGAGUCUGGCAUAAAGGGCUGCUAUUUAAACUUCAACAAGCGGGUAUAUCAGGUUCUUUACUAAGGUGGUUUGAAAUUUAUCUUACAAAUAGAGUCCAGCGGGUGGUUAUUAACGGUUCAUGUUCCGAAUGGUUACCUGUAAAUGCUGGCGUCCCACAAGGGUCCAUUCUAGGCCCUCUCCUUUUUUUGAUAUUUAUAAAUGAUAUUGUAGAAGACAUUCAAGCUCAAAUUAAGCUAUUUGCAGAUGACACUUCAUUAUAUAUUAUGGUUGACAAUCCAACAGAAACAGCUACAAUUUUAAAUGACGAUCUAGAUAAGAUUUAUAAUUGGUAAAAAAAAUGGCUUGUGAAUUUUAAUGCCCAAAAAACUAAAAGUAUGAUAAUUUCAACAAAAAUAAAUAGACCCUUUCAUCCUUCAUUAAAUCUGAAUACCCAAGAGCUACAAACAGUUAGUAAAGACAAACAUCUAGGUGUCUUUUUUUCUAACAACGGAUCCUGGAACGACCAUAUUGAAUAUAUAGUUUCUAAAUCUUACAAAAGAAUAAAUAUAAUGAGAAAAAUGAAAAAUGUUCUUGAUAGAUUUUCACUUGAAAAAGUUUACAUAUCAUUUGUUCGCCCAAUUCUUGAAUAUGCCGAUGUCGUUUGGGACUCCCAAAAUCAGAAUUUGAUUGCUAAACUAAAAUAUUCAGCUUGACGCAGCGCGUAUCGUCACGGGGGGUACUAAACUUACAAGUAUAAACAAUUUAUAUGUUGAAACUCGAUGGGAAAAAUUACCUGAAAGACGACGCAAUCAUAGACUAAUUCAUUAUCACAAAAUUUUGAAUAAUAAAACUCCAGAGUAUUUGAGAGACUUAUUGCCUGAUUCAGUAGGAAGUAGGCAUGAUCAUAAUACAAGACAAAGAAAUAAUAUUACCCAAGUCAACACACGGACCCGUUUAUAUUCUGAAUAUUUUAUCCCUGCAACAACAAAACUAUGGAACACUCUUAACUUAAACAUAAGAAAAUGUGAAUCUGUGUCAUUAUUCAAAAAUCAAAUUAGUACCCAAAAUAGUAAGGUCCCAACGUAUUAUUAUAUAGGACAUCGUCUUGGUCAAAUUCUUCAUGCUCGCUUAAGAAUGGAUUCAAGUUCUUUGAAUUCUCACCUUUUCGUUCGUAAUUUAGUAGACUCGCCAAAUUGUCGUUGUGGUGAUGUAGAAACAAAUACUCACUUUCUGUUAUCUUGUCCUAUAUACACUAAUUUAAGACAUGAACUAUUAGAUUCUAUUUCAGUUCUUCCUGUCCAAGUAAACACAAAAACUUUGCUUUUUGGAUCAACGGUACUCUCAGAUGAGCAAAAUAGUAUUUUAUUCAGUUUGGUGCAAAAAUAUAUUAUAAAAAGUAAACGUUUUAACCCUUGAUGUUAAUGCCUCAUCACUCAAUAGGAACCCAAACAUUUCACACUGUAUACAUUACAAUAAUUCACGUUUAUUUAUUAUUUUUAUUUUAUUUUUCUCAUGAAUAUUUUUUUUUCUUCCUUUUUCACCUUUUUCAUAUUCAUAUAUUUAUUACAGAGCAUGCCAGUAUUUAUAUUUAUGUAUUGUUCAAUAAGUGUAUAAUGUCUGUAAAGGGAGACAGAUUUGUAAAAGCAAAUUGCUUGUUUCUGAAUCCUUAAUAUUAUUUCAUUGUAUAAUAUGUUUAAUGUUGAUUUAUCUGAAUAAAUAUUGUUUAAACUAACAGGAAACACUUAGGGAAGUCAAUGAUACGUGAUAUGCAGUGUACUAUAAUACAGUUGGAGGAGCAUCUGCAUAUCUCAUAUUGAUAUAAUGGGGGUCUAACACCAAAAAUCAUUGGUUUAUUAUACUGAAUCUGAUUAGUUCCGUUUAGGGACACCCAUAAUGGUAUUAAAGUCAGCAAUAUUUGGUAUGUUGUUGUCAGAACUAUAACAUCUCAUCCAUGGGGAUUAAGUAUACCAUAAAAAUGCUACUCGUGCUACUAGCAAUAUGAUGCCAGAUGGUUUUAAAACUAUUUUUUUUUUAAAUUUGUGUUGCCUGCUGAAGAAGACUGAGUGUAGAUUAUCAUUGACUUAAACAUAUAUGGGUAAUGUUAGUUAGUAUAAUUUUUAAACCUUUUCAGUUCAGUCCCAUAUCUACAAUAAUUUUUAGGUAAAGAUUGCAUUAAAUGCAAUCAAAACCUAAUGGGACUGACUUGAUAACUAACUGUUCCAAGGCCUAUCACUGCCUUUUUUAUACACAAAAUAAAGUGCAUUGAAUACAAUGUAUAGUGAAUUUCUUAUGUAUGACGUAGUCAGUGGAUUUGAAACUACCACAAUCGACUGUUUUAUGAAAAUUUGUCUGUAAUUUGAAAGCAUACACUUAUCUCGAAGCUUCAUACAAUAAUUAAGGUAAAAACAAGUACUUAGUAUAUAAAAUGCAAACAAUCAUAAUUUAUGCACUUUUAAUAUUAAAAAAAAACAUAGAAACAAAUGUAAACAUCUCAAAUAUUCCCCAC